This 285-nucleotide long non-coding RNA is filed under the name Sorghum bicolor (sorghum). RNAcentral's name for it is "long non-coding RNA (SBIC_LNC008973)". Lineage: Eukaryota; Viridiplantae; Streptophyta; Magnoliopsida; Poales; Poaceae. The record is from RNAcentral.
GCCGUAGAGAAAUUAUCCAUUCUAUUAUUUAUAUUUUCCAACAUUUUAUCAUUAGAUGCCAAUUUCUUAGAUAGGUUAUCUAUUAGCUUUCCUUGAUUAGACACUAACUCUCUCAGAGGUGGAAAAUUAUUAUUAUUAUUGUAAGAAUUGUUACCUUGAUAAUUGUUGAUAUUUGGGAGCGCAAUAAGGAAUUGAUCCGCAAGCGCACGGAUAUCGGUGAGCACUUCACCCGGGAGGUUAUCCAGAGUAUCGUAUUUAUUUUUUUACCACUAGGAGAAAGAGUGC